GAAAUAGCUCAGCUUGGUAGAGCGCUUGGUUUGGGACCAAGAUGUCGCAGGUUCGAAUCCUGUUUUCC
Molecule: transfer RNA, 68 nt
Filed under: human gut metagenome
Also listed under: 2 other names
Rfam family: tRNA
About the family: Transfer RNA (tRNA) molecules are approximately 80 nucleotides in length. Their secondary structure includes four short double-helical elements and three loops (D, anti-codon, and T loops).
Source: RNAcentral